AGGGGAAUAGCUCAGCUGGCAGAGCGACGGUCUCCAAAACCGUAGGCCGAGGGUUCGAAACCUUCUUCCCCUGCCA
RNAcentral lists this transfer RNA (76 nucleotides) under Bacillota bacterium. RNAcentral's name for it is "tRNA-Trp". It matches the Rfam family "tRNA". From Rfam's summary of the family: Transfer RNA (tRNA) molecules are approximately 80 nucleotides in length. Their secondary structure includes four short double-helical elements and three loops (D, anti-codon, and T loops). The record is from RNAcentral. Lineage: Bacteria; Bacillati; Bacillota. RNAcentral also lists the same sequence under 2 other names.